RNAcentral lists this ribosomal RNA (253 nucleotides) under uncultured bacterium. RNAcentral's name for it is "partial 16S ribosomal RNA". It matches the Rfam family "Bacterial small subunit ribosomal RNA", at positions 524 to 776 of the family's 1533-position model. The record is from RNAcentral.
UACGAAGGGAGCUAGCGUUGUUCGGAAUCACUGGGCGUAAAGCGCGAGCAGGUGGCCUUGUAAGUUAGAAGUGAAAGCCUGGGGCUUAACCUCAGAACUGCUUUUAAAACUACGAGGCUAGAGUUCGGGAGAGGAUAGUGGAAUUCCGUGUGUAGAGGUGAAAUUCGUAGAUAUACGGAGGAACACCGAUGGCGAAGGCAGCUAUCUGGAACGUAACUGACACUGAGGCGCGAAAGCGUGGGGAUCAAACAGG